Mycena leptocephala is the source of this 95-nucleotide non-coding RNA. The record is from the annotation of a GenBank genome assembly. NCBI's taxonomy places the organism in Eukaryota, Fungi, Basidiomycota, Agaricomycetes, Agaricales, Mycenaceae.
GACCCAAUGGCACAGUUGGUUAGUGCGCCUGUUAGAGUUCACUACCUAUUGUACGAAGUGAACAGGAGUCCCUCGUUCGAACCGGGGUUGGGUCA